UGGCAUAUAAUGUUUGGUCUUUAAUAAUUUUUUAAAUUAGAUAAAGUUAAAAAAUGUACUCAACUAUGAAUCAUUUUAAGUCAACUAUCUAACUUUUCAAAAUUUUGAAUUUUCUAAUUCAAUCUUUCAAUUUGAUUAUUUUGAAUCGGUCAGUGAUACAUUGACUUCAAAAUUUAACUUAAUUACUCACUUUAAUGAAUUUGUAGUUUCGAAAAUUAUAUGAAGUAUACUAACUAAAUUUGGAAAGAUCGACAACGCACUUAUAUUUUUGAAGUCAAAGUGUCGUUGAUCAACUCGAAUCAGACAAAUUGAAAGACUGAGUAAUAAAAUAAAAAUUUAUGAAAGAUUGGAUAGCCAACACAAAAUACUCUAUAAUUUAGAUAAAUUUGAUACAUUUUAUCUUAGAUAAAUUAUUCAUAGAUAAAAUAUUUCAUCCUGUCAAAUCAUCCAUAAAUAUCGAUCGAGAUUUUUUUAAGGAGCAAAAUUCAAACCACUUAUAGUUAUCAUAAUAAAAAAAAUCUCAAACUGACUAAUUUAUUGCCGAAUAAAUUAUUCCGAUAUUCAAAUAUAUAUGUCUCAAGGUGAGUAAAUUAAAUAUUAAGGUACCGUUUGAUUGGAGGAUAAGUAAAAAGUGGAUAUUUCGGAAAUAGGUAUAAAUUGAGGUAUAAGCGAGAAUUAGAUCAAUUUUGCGUUUAGAUGAAAAUUGGGUUAUUCCUAGAAAUAAGAAAAAUAGCUUUUGGUUAGGUAAGAUGGAAUAAGAAUUAAAGUGGAUAGUUAUAAAUAAAAAAUAAUAAUAUUAUUCUUUUCUUUAUAUUAGAAUUUAAAUUUUUAUAUUUUAUAUUUAUAUUUUAAAAUU
This 856-nucleotide long non-coding RNA is filed under the name Ananas comosus (pineapple). RNAcentral's name for it is "long non-coding RNA (ACOM_LNC002946)". The record is from RNAcentral. Lineage: Eukaryota; Viridiplantae; Streptophyta; Magnoliopsida; Poales; Bromeliaceae.